This is a long non-coding RNA of Astyanax mexicanus (Mexican tetra), 858 nucleotides long. RefSeq lists it as uncharacterized. The transcript is spliced from 2 exons. Lineage: Eukaryota; Metazoa; Chordata; Actinopteri; Characiformes; Acestrorhamphidae. The record is from RefSeq and is a predicted model, not a curated record.
AAAAAAGCUUGAAUAUCGAUAUUUUUACACGAGUAUUGCUCAAUACCAAUACCAGCGUUGGUAUCGAUAUUAUCGAUAUUUGGAUCGAUCCGCCCACCUCUACCUUGUACUCUCCCAGAGUGAGUGUGUUUAGAGCAGGUGCAGAGUCGCCAUUUUCGGGUGCUGAUUUUCAGUUAAAAACGCUGUUAAAUCUUCUAAAAGAGACCUAAAAUACUUUGUUUCUGUUCUGUUGGUGUAUAUGAGCCACAAGUUGGAUAAACCCUCGUCUGUCUGUUCUAUUUUGUGGAGAAACUUCGGUUGUUUUAAUUGAUGGGAAAAACGCGCGAACUUUUUGAGUCCAAGAUGGCGAGCCAACCCAAGACUACAUGUCCUAGAAUACUGUGCGAGUGACGUCUGCAGCGUGAGCACGCAAACUGCACCGCUGAGAGAGAGAGAGAGUCAGACCACAGAUAAGAGGAGCCAAGCACUUGAUACACACGCACACAAUCACUAGUCUACCAGGGUAGUGAAGAUCUAAAUACACAUUUCACACACUUUGGGACAAAAUUACACACACAAAGGGAAAAGAAGAGGAAGCCUGACAGAACAUCGUUUAAACUCAAAGACUGUGACUAAAAGAACACCUUGAUAUUUAUUAUUUUUCCUUUGUAUUACUGAAACUGGCCAUUUUGUGUUUUUUUCCUUAAUUGUUUAUUUUCUAUUUUUAACUGAUCAGAGCCCCAUUGAACUAUUUUUCUUAUUUUCAUACCCCCCUUCUGCUACUCUAAAACAUUUUAUUUGUUUAUUUUACCAAAUACACUUACACAGUAACAACAAAUCAUUUGUUAAUAAAUCUAAAUUGUUAAUUUUUACCCUGUA